AGUAUGAAAAUUGGUGAUUUAUAAUAACUUAGCAAAUCGCAAAGUGAAAACAGGCGAUAAAUCAUUCAAGUUUCUGACCUAUCAGCUUUCGACGGUAUGGUAUUGGCUUACCGUGGCAGUGACGGUUAACGGGGGAUUAGGGUUCGAUUCCGGAGAGGGAGCCUGAGAAACGGCUACCACAUCUAAGGAAGGCAGCAGGCGCGCAAAUUACCCAAUUCUAACAGUUUGAGAGAGGUAGUAACAAGAAAUAACAAUACAAGGCAGUUAAAAUGCUUUGUAAUUGGAAUGAUAGAAAUUUAAACCCUUUUUAAAGUAUCAAUUGGAGGGCAAGUCUGGUGCCAGCAGCCGCGGUAAUUCCAGCUCCAAUAGCGUAUAUUAAAAUUGUUGCAGUUAAAAAGCUCGUAGUUGAAGUUCUGCUGAAAGUAACCGGUCUGCUUUUAAUAAAAGUGGUAUCUUGGUAUGUAUUUAGCAAUGAUGUCCUUUGAAGUGUUUUUUACUUUAUUGUAAUAAAGCAUAUUCAGGACUUUUACUUUGAGAAAAUUAGAGUGUUUCUAGCAGGCUGACGCUUUGAAUACUGCAGCAUGGAAUAAUAAGA
Molecule: ribosomal RNA, 595 nt
Filed under: Hepatozoon canis
Lineage: Eukaryota; Apicomplexa; Hepatozoidae
Description: bacterial SSU rRNA
Rfam family: Eukaryotic small subunit ribosomal RNA
Source: RNAcentral